CACUACUUUUUUUAACUAAAUUCGCACUCAUCCCGGAAACUGCAGGAACCGAAGUUAGACCGUACCACACUCUAAUUCCGCACCGCUUAUGUUAUCAAAACCGUGAUUACUAUUCGGAUCCUUAGUUUUACAUUUACGAUCCAAGACCCUCCUUCCAUUACUUAACAUUAAAUUUUCCAACUCUUGCUCUUUCGACUUUCUCUAAUUUGAUUCUAUAAAUAAUCAUGUCUACAUCAAGAAUUUCAUCACUCAAACAGCCUCCUUGCUAUUUCUCACUCACAAUCACAGUAAGCAGCAAUGAUAACUUAUCAGCUCUUGCUUCAGAGUUGAACCCGGCCACUGUUCUCAGGCUGCCAAUCGUCUUCUUUGUUUAUAGGAGACGAGUACCGUCAAAUGGCGGUGAGUUGAUGGGCCUCGAGAGCCUCGAGAUGCUCAUAACUGAUCAAAAGUGACAGCUCGAGGACAACAUUCACCAACAAAAGCCAUUCCAGGAGAAAUGUAUACAGCGGGAAAAGUGUUGCUGGUGUAGGAGAUAAGAAUAAAAGUUUUGCCCACAGCUCUAUCACCGACAUUGACGCACUUUAUAAUAUGUCGUAGAUGUUGUUGUUGUUGAUGCUGAUGCUGCAGACACAGAAGCUGAAAUUUAUUUGAGAUAUGAGAAUAGGACUCGCUGAUUUAGCUUCUCUUUCUCUUUUUGUGCACUUGGUUAAGUGUAGUUUGGUGGAUGUAUUUACCGUGUCAGCUUGGAUAAAUGGACUUGCACGUGUAUGAAGUUUAAGA
Brassica napus (rape) is the source of this 780-nucleotide long non-coding RNA. RefSeq lists it as uncharacterized. The transcript is spliced from 2 exons. NCBI's taxonomy places the organism in Eukaryota, Viridiplantae, Streptophyta, Magnoliopsida, Brassicales, Brassicaceae. The record is from RefSeq and is a predicted model, not a curated record.